This 331-nucleotide ribosomal RNA is filed under the name Hemiramphus limbatus (Congaturi halfbeak). Its description in RNAcentral is "Hyporhamphus limbatus (Congaturi halfbeak) partial small subunit ribosomal RNA". It matches the Rfam family "Microsporidia small subunit ribosomal RNA", at positions 771 to 1194 of the family's 1311-position model. The record is from RNAcentral. Lineage: Eukaryota; Metazoa; Chordata; Actinopteri; Beloniformes; Hemiramphidae.
UUAAAACCCAAAGGACUUGGCGGUGCUUUAGACCCACCUAGAGGAGCCUGUUCUAGAACCGAUAACCCCCGUUAAACCUCACCCUCCCUUGUUUUUCCCGCCUAUAUACCGCCGUCCUCAGCUUACCCUGUGAAGGCCCCAUAGUAAGCAGAGUCAGUAAAGCUCAAAACGCCAGGUCGAGGUGUAGCAUAUGAGAGGGGAAGAAAUGGGCUACAUUCCCUACUCCAGGGUAUACGGAUACUGUAAUGAAACGUACAUUAGAAGGAGGAUUUAGCAGUAAGCAAAAAAUAGAGUGUUUUGCUGAAACUGGCCCUGAAGCGCGCACACACCG